Molecule: ribosomal RNA, 535 nt
Filed under: Firmicutes bacterium P1
Lineage: Bacteria; Bacillati; Bacillota
Description: bacterial SSU rRNA
Rfam family: Bacterial small subunit ribosomal RNA
Source: RNAcentral
UACGGGGAGGCAGCAGUAGGGGAAUUUUCCGCAAUGGGGGAAACCCUGACCGAGCAACGCCGCGUGAGCGAGGACGGCCUUCGGGUUUGUAAAGCUCUGUCAUCUGGGAAGAACGGGUAGGAGAGGACAUGCUUUUACCGUGACGGUACCACACCAGGAAGCCCCGGCUAACUACGUGCCAGCAGCCGCGGUAACACGUAGGGGGCGAGCGUUGUCCGGAAUCAUUGGGCGUAAAGGGCGCGCAGGCGGUCUCUUAAGUCUGAUGUGAAAUUCCACGGCUCAACCGCAGGAGGUCAUUGGAAACUGGGGGACUUGAGUGCAGGAGAGGGGAGCGGAAUUCCCGGUGUAGCGGUGAAAUGCGUAGAGAUCGGGAGGAACACCAGUGGCGAAGGCGGCUUUCUGGCCUGUAACUGACGCUCAGGCGCGAAAGCGUGGGGAGCGAACAGGAUUAGAUACCCUGGUAGUCCACGCCGUAAACGAUGAGUGCUAGGUGUUAGGAGGCGUCUCGCCUUCAGUGCCGAAGUAAACACAUAAG